Molecule: long non-coding RNA, 1669 nt
Organism: Bos taurus (domestic cattle)
Lineage: Eukaryota; Metazoa; Chordata; Mammalia; Artiodactyla; Bovidae
Source: Ensembl
UCCUACUCUAAAAAUCACAGGCAAGACUCCUGUUGCACUGAGUUGGCAGAACUUGGGCACACAGCCACCGCAGGGGAGGUUAUGGGAAUCUGAGAAAUGGUCUUUAUUCUACUUGGCUAAACUACAUGUUAGGGGUUGAUUUUUAAAGAAAACACAGAAAAUGGGUACUGGAGUAAUAGUGCGUGAGUGCUCAUUCACGUCCAACUGUGUGCCCCCAUGGACUGUAGCCUGUCAGGCUCCUCUGUUCAUGGAAUUUUCCAGGCAAGAAUACUGGAGUGGGUUGCCAUUUCCUACUCCAGGGAAUCUUCCCGACCCAGGGAUCAAGGUCUUCUGCUUUGGCAGGUGGAUUCCCAGGUAGCACCACCUGGGAAGCCCACUCCCCCCCAAAUGCCAUACAUGUGGACAUCACAGGAUACCAUUAAGCAGAGAACAUAAAUUGAGUGUAAUUUUUUCAACAUUUUUUACAUUCAUUCAACCCAGAAAGCAUUCCCUGGUGCUUGCGUUUAUUUGAAAAUAGUCUACGUGCUGCAGAAUGCCGAGAUUCAGUCUCUGGGGAAGAAAUAAAACAGCUGCAGCAAAUAAAGCAGAUGGGAAUUAAGAAUGCUGGAGAGUCUCCAAAAUAUGAUCCCAUUGUCCAAACCAGUGCUGUGAUUCAUGACUGAGCUAUGCCAGGAAAAGUGAGGAAAUGACCCAAUAUUUAUUAGGACUCUUUUGGUUGCAAGUAAGAGAAACUCAUCAUAAACAAUUUUAAACAAAAAUGCAGGACUUCCUUGGUAGCACAGUGGAUGCGAAUCUGCCUGUCAAUGCUGGGGACACAGGUUUGAUCCCUGGUACGGGAAGAUGCCACAUGCCUCAGAGCAACUAAGCCACUAUGCCACACUAUUGAGGCUGAACUCUAGAGCCUGUGAGUCUCAACUACUGAACUGGCAUGCUGCAACUACCGAAACCGCUGUGCCUAGAGCCAGUGCUCUGCAACAAGAGGAACCGCCAUAACGAGAAGCCACCAUUACGAGACGCCAUCGUAAUGAGAAGCCCAUACGCCACAAGGAAGAGUAAUGCCCGCUCAGCGCGACUGGAGAAAGUCGACACAGCAAUGAAGACCCAACACAAUCGAAAACUAAAAACAAAUAAAUAAAUUAUUAAACAAAAACGUAAAUUUAUUGGCUUACAAAAUUUAGAAGUCCAGGAGUAGAUUGCCUUCAUUCAUAAGCUAGAUUCUUGGGCUCAAAUCAUUGGGACUCUGUUUCUCCUGUUUUCUGGACUCUAGUUUUCCCUGUUGUUUUUAUUACUCUCAGGGCCCCCUGGUGUGAUGGUAGAAAUGGGCAGACUCACUCUAGGCCCAUAUUUUAUCUGUUUAGCAGCUCCACUGUAAGGAGAGUGCCUGGUUCCCACAGAAAUCCAAGGCUGACUCUCCUUGCUCCUUCUUGGGACACAUGUCCACCCUUGGGCUGAUGAGCAUGACUCUGAUUGGCCAGGCCUAGGUUACAUGACCAACCCUGGAGUCCAUCAUACCCACACUCACUGAGAAGGGGAGCAAAAUUCCCUAGAAGAAAAUAGGACUACUGUUACCAAAAGAAGGGUGGGUUGACGGUGGUCAGGUGAAAACAACAGAUGUUUACAAGAGGCCUUAAUAUGCUGCCCCUGGGAAGACUAGGAUUAUGUUAGCCAC